This 468-nucleotide ribosomal RNA is filed under the name uncultured bacterium. RNAcentral describes it as "partial 16S ribosomal RNA". It matches the Rfam family "Bacterial small subunit ribosomal RNA", at positions 28 to 507 of the family's 1533-position model. The record is from RNAcentral.
GACGAACGCUGGCGGCGUGCUUAACACAUGCAAGUCGAACGGAAAGGCCCUGCUUUUGUGGGGUGCUCGAGUGGCGAACGGGUGAGUAACACGUGAGUAACCUGCCCUUGACUUUGGGAUAACUUCAGGAAACUGGGGCUAAUACCGGAUAGGAGCUCCUGCUGCAUGGUGGGGGUUGGAAAGUUUCGGCGGUUGGGGAUGGACUCGCGGCUUAUCAGCUUGUUGGUGGGGUAGUGGCUUACCAAGGCUUUGACGGGUAGCCGGCCUGAGAGGGUGACCGGCCACAUUGGGACUGAGAUACGGCCCAGACUCCUACGGGAGGCAGAAGUGGGGUAUAGUGCACAAUGGGCGGAAGCCUGAUGCAGCAACGCCGCGUGCGGGAUGACGGCAUUCGGGUUGUAAUCCGCUUUCGCCUGUGACGAAGCGUGAGUGACGGUAAUGGGUAAAGAAGCACCGGCUAACUACGUG